UGGGGAAUCUUGCGCAAUGGGGGAAACCCUGACGCAGCAACGCCGCGUGACCGAUGAAGCUUUUCGGAGUGUAAAGGUCUGUCGUGAGGGAAGAAUGGCUUCUAUUCAAAUAGUUUAGAGGCAUGACGGUACCUCACAAGAAAGCACCGGCUAACUUCGUGCCAGCAGCCGCGGUAAUACGAGGGGUGCUAGCGUUGUCCGGAAUCACUGGGCGUAAAGGGUACGUAGGCGUCCUGAUAAGCAUUGAUUGAAAUCCUUCGGCUUAACCGGAGAACUGGUCAGUGAACUGUCAGGAUAGAGUUUGGUAGAGGAAAGCGGAAUUCCCGGUGUAGCGGUGAAAUGCGUAGAUAUCGGGAGGAACAUCGACGGCGAAGGCAGCUUUCUGGGCCAAUACUGACGCUGAGGUACGAAAGCGUGGGUAGCGAACAGG
Molecule: ribosomal RNA, 430 nt
Filed under: uncultured bacterium
Lineage: Bacteria
Description: bacterial SSU rRNA
Rfam family: Bacterial small subunit ribosomal RNA
Source: RNAcentral